UUGUUUUUAAUUUUUUCUCGUGUAUUUCGAAUUUGUUUCAUCUUAGUCCAGGUUGCAACGCAAUGUUUUGAUGGGAAGGGAAUAUUUCCCAGUUAGCCCCCCAUGUUAUCCGCGCAUCUUGUCUUGGCCCUCCAUUUUAUUUUAUUUUCGUUUUUUUUUUAAAUUCAAUUGAAUCCCCAUUAGUUUGAUUUAAUUUGCUUGUUUUUUUUAUUUAAGUAUUUAUCAUUAUGUUUUUAAAUUUAAAUCUAAUAUUAUUCAAAUGUUUAAACUUAUUAUUAUCUUAAAUUUAUCAUUACUAUUAUUUAAGUUUA
This 311-nucleotide long non-coding RNA is filed under the name Gossypium raimondii (Peruvian cotton). Its description in RNAcentral is "long non-coding RNA (GRAI_LNC011111)". The record is from RNAcentral. Lineage: Eukaryota; Viridiplantae; Streptophyta; Magnoliopsida; Malvales; Malvaceae.